This 31406-nucleotide long non-coding RNA is filed under the name Solanum tuberosum (potato). Its description in RNAcentral is "long non-coding RNA (STUB_LNC009261)". Lineage: Eukaryota; Viridiplantae; Streptophyta; Magnoliopsida; Solanales; Solanaceae. The record is from RNAcentral.
AUUAAUAGCCUUUUAGCACUUACUUCCAAAGCUUCUUUAUCCAUGGUGUUCAGAGCAAUUUAUUCACUAAAAUAACUCAACUUCUUAACUGCAUAAACUACCUUACCCAAAGAGAAACUUUCCAUUUCCAAAAUCCAAAAUCCAAACUUUUUUCUUCCUAAAAAUACAUAUAUUUUCCCCUGUUUCUUGAUGAUGAAUCAAUUGUAUUCUGUUAAAGAGGAGUUCCCGGGGUCAAGUUCUGGUGGCAAGCCCCCACCGCCGACACCACAACCAAUGGAAGGGCUUCAUGACAUUGGUCCACCACCAUUCCUUACAAAGACAUAUGAAAUGGUGGAUGAUUCAACUAUAGAUCAUGUUGUUUCUUGGAACAGAGGAGGUCAAAGCUUCGUAGUCUGGGAUCCUCAUGCCUUUUCAACUACACUACUUCCCAGAUUCUUCAAACAUAAUAAUUUCUCGAGCUUUGUCAGACAGCAAAAUACGUAUGUAAGUAUAACUUAGUCAAAAAUCAGUUAACUCCUCUAAUACAUUUUUUCAAGUGGGAAAUUUGUAUUUACUUUCUUUCAAAUAUAUUUGUUCGCUCCUGAUUGCUAAAUCUUUGUGAACAUACAAGUGAACAAGGUUAUUAUAGGACGAAGAGAUAUGUAUUUGUAUUUGUAUAUACAGUCCCUCACGCUUUAUAUCAAUUCAAAUGCAAAUUAUACAUUUGUGUUUGUAUAAAGUGAGAGAGGCGAAGAGAGAUCAGUGAGAGUGCGAGUGAGAUUCCAGAAAGAGGGAAGAGAGGCGAAUGACAAGAAGUUUGCUGCGAAUUGAAAUUAAAUGAAACCGUAGGUAUAUCAUUCAUUUUGAAUUAAUAGUUUGCUAUAAUGUACAAUUUUCCUUUUUACUCCUUUUCUUCUCGUUCUCAUUUUUUGGUAAGAAUAUUUUUAUAGUAAGAAAUAAUAAUUUUAGCUAAGUGGGCAACGAUUUUGAAGAGAUUGUGAAUUUCCCGAAAAGAAGUUGUUGAUCUUUCAGACAAUUUAAUUAUGAAAAAGUAAAUAAUUAGACAUACUUUGUUAUCAUAUAUAUUAUUAUUAUCUAUACUUUCAAAAUAUUAUAUAUCUUACCACUAAUUAAGAGUUCCCUACCAUAUAUUGAAAAAAAUACACGUAAAUAUAUGUAUUUUUGCUAUCAGAUAUACAAAAAUAGGGAGAGAAACGAGCAGAUUGCAGAGGGAGGCGAGUGAGAUUAGUAUGUAUCCUAGAUGCAUAUGAAUCAUUCUCGAUACACACCAGAAACAUAUAUAUAUAUCUGGUAUGAUUCACAUGUAUCUGGAAUACCAUAUACCUGGAAAGUGACAAGCAAGAUGAGAGAGAGGUGACGGGGAUGAGCUAGAUUUGUUAUGUAUCCCCGAUACAUGUGAAUCCACUUUGAUACAAUGUAUUUAGAACAAACUACACUUAAUUUUGACCUCAUGUAUUUGAAUGUAUCUGGAUACACCAAAAUCUGGUAAAAUACGUAAUAUUGCAAAUUAGAGUGUAUCUAAAUAACUAGCUCCCAAACUAGUAAGAUUUAUGUGAGUUUCCUUUUAAUUAUUAUAUAGCAUCAGGGUUAAGUUUCUAAUUAGUUUCUUGUAAUUCUUUUGGGCAUGCAGUAUUGGACAAUAUGUGGACUCCCAAAUUGAGAUUUGAGAAGAAAGAGCACCAAGCUAAUCUAAGUACUAUUACUUAUAUGUGUAAUAUUGUAAACAUAUUUUCCUUCCUAGCUACGUACUCUUGUUUUUGCUUAAGUAUUGUAUCUUUUGACUUAAUUUUGUGUGAAGAAGAGUGUAUGAUCAGUGCUAUAUAUAUGAAAUAAAACAAAUAUUAUUAGUAAGUUCUCUUAAAUUUUGCUAUAGAUGGAUCGUUAUUAUUUAUUUUAGGUUGUACGCAACUUUUACGUUCCUUCAAGUACAGACUUGGUCGUUCAAAAAGUUUAACAUGUUUCUGACUCGGUUUGGUCCGUUCGCCGUAUGUGACUAGCACUUCACAAGGCAACUUAUCUUCAAUAGGGGCCUUUAGUUUUUUAUUAGAGUAGGGGUCGUGAGAACAGAGCGUACCGCCCUGUUAUAAUUAUAAUCACGAGUUUGUUUAUAGUCGUGAUUGUUGUCAUAGUCAAUAAAGUUAAACGUUCCAGGAAAAAACUUUGAAUUAGGAGGGCGAUCCUCCUAGUGAAUUGGCCAUACCGUAAACCGAUAUACUAGGGCUCUUGAGAGAACCAUGUCAAAGGAACUUGACAAAUGACCAUGUAUAGGAACUAGAAACAGCUUUAGAAGCACAAAAUUGCGCGUCUUGAUCAAGCUCAACAUUACACACAACAUUUGAAAUUAAUUCGAUAAGUUGAAGUUGCAUCAUGUCUUGUCUAAUCACCUUUCUCCAAAUAUUUCUUCGACCUACCUCUCCCUCUCUUUAUGUCAUCCAUAUCCAACCUCUCACACCUCCAUACUGGGACAUCCGUACAUUUUUGUUUAGUUGAAAGUCCUAGUAGAGAAUUGGUAUCCAAAUAAAUUGAUGUUACUCCUCUUGUCAACAAUCAAACGAUCAAUUGUCAUUUGUCACGACACCAAAUUAAACUGAUAAUUCCUAUCAGUUUACACUAGGAGAAUUUAUUACAGUUGAAACUUGAAAACAAAUGUGCUAUCAUAUAUAUGUAAGCAUUUUAAAUUUAUUUUAUUCGAAAAUUAGAACUUUCAGCUAAACAAAGAAGUUCACAAAAUAUCUUUAUUAAGUAAAGGAUGUAACAACUGCAUAAAAGUCAAUUUUACCAGUUUCUAUUAUAUUAGCAAAAAGAAGACGUCUCUAAACGUCUCAUGCAUUAACUCGAAACAAAUCGAAUUUCCACACUUACUAAACUGUGACAAUUUCUCAAUUCCAUGCAGAGUACAAUAUUUUAUAUAUAGAAAAUAGGUACAUAAAAGAAGAGAGUUUUUAAUAUUAGAAUUUCACAAAAAUAUGUAAAGCCAGAGGACUUUGAUUUGUACCUUUUAUUUUUGGUGUGUGAUUGGAUUUUUUUUAACAAAUAUCAAUAUAACAAAGUUAUCCUUAUACAAGGGGAGUGAAUUGGCACCGUCUCGUUGGCAAAUUAUAACGUAUAAAUAGGUCAAAAUUUUCUUUUUAUGUAGAUAUAUUAUAUGUUAAAUUUUUUUAAUAAAUAAAAUUAUAUUUUAACUCUAAUAUGGCACUCAUGUGGGGUAAGGUUAUCAUAUAUAGUUGUGGCUCCAUGGCCAAAAUAAAAAUAAAAUUAUUUUUUAAAUAAAGUAUACACACAUAUAUACACACACAUAUAUAUAUAAUCAUACGCAAAAUUAUCUUACAAGGUGUUAUCAUCAUCAGUGGUGUGAUCAGUUCGCAUCACAUUUAGAUUUUAGGGUGAGUCUCGACCUAGACCUAACACAUGAAAAGAAUUAAUUAAUCUUGCUAGGUUCCGUUUAAUAUAAUUAUUAAACACUCGUACAUGAGUAUAUCAACUAUAACAUAUAUUUUUUAGUUAGUCUAAAAAAAAUUAUUUUUAUAUUACUAAUAAAUUUAUUUUAAAAUAUUCAUUUUACUCUUUUUUAAUUUAUAGUGACACACAUUUAUAUAUAGGGGUGUGUAUCGAUUAGUACGGUUUGGUGUAUCGAUUUUUUAUUUUAAAAUAUGCUAAACCAAUAACUAAAUCAAUAAGAUAUUUUUUAUCAGUUUUUAGUUUAUUAAUUGUGGUGCUUAACGGUUCGGUUUUCAGUUUAGCCAAUAAAAAAGAUGCUCAUAAAAUAAACAGAGAAGGGUCUAAAAUGCCCCUAAAGUAUUUGAAUUGGUACAAAAUUACCCUUCAUUCACCUAUCGGCCCUAAAAUACCCCUGACGUCCACCUUUCUGCUCAAAAAUACCCUCGAUGUUAAUCAUUUGACUCAUAUUUGCCCUUAUUUUUAAUACCUCCCUUAAAGUAAAAUUAUUAAAUAUUUAUUUAUUAUAUUGCUUAAUGUGAUUGGUCCAAAUUUAAAUCCUUUCUCAUAUAAAUAAUAAAAAUGAUAUUUUUAAAAUUCUAUUUUUCUAUCAAAACCACUUAUGAUUCAUAUUUUGAUCCGAUACACUUGAAAAUAAUAUUGAAAAAAUAAUUAAUUUCAUGAUAUCUUCCUAUUGGCCUAUUUUAAAUCAACCCCAAUUUAUUAUAACGUAACCCAACUCAUAAAUGGGGAUCCAACUAAAAUCCAUGCUUACCCCGACCGAUUGUCCAUCUAAAAAAAUUAUUAUUUUCAUUAAUAUAAAAUGUUCUCUCAAUUAUCCAAAUGUCUUGUUCAUUUCCUCUCUUAUUCCUUUUUUUAAUCUUUUAUUCUUAAUUAGGAUAUCCGGGACUCAAACUUGAAAUGAACUCACAUAUUUAUAUUGUUUUAAUUCGUAUUAUAUUAUCACGAUGGGAUGAGGGUGGGGAUAAGAGAAAUGAUUAUUUUUACUUUUAUUUUUAAUUUUGGGUUCACACAAAAAAAUGUAAUAUUUGUACAUAUUUGCUUAAUUAAGUCAUCUUUUAUUGAAUUAAUUAUUUCUAUAUGAAUGCAUCGUUAUUUUCCUCCUUUUUUUCUCUCUUGUUUGUCAUAAAUUAAUUAAAAAAAUUAAAAUGAUGGACAAGAUCCAAAUAGAAAAAAAAUGGAAGAGAUAGGAAGUGAAGGACCGGGGAGGGAGGAGUGUAGAGAGUAGACACCUAACCUUUUUAUAAUUUUAAAUUAACUAUGAAAUUCAAAUUCAAGUCAAUCAUGUGAGCUUAUAUAUUAAGUAAUUUCAAAUUAUUUUAAUGGAAAAGAGCCUAAAAUGUCCUUAAACUAUGAUAGUUGGUACAAUACUACCCUUCAUCCACCUAAUGAGUAUGAUCUGUUAGACAUAAGGGUAUUUUUGAGCCGAAAGGUGGACGUCAGAGGUAUUUUAGGCCUGAUAGGUGGAUGGAGGGUAACUUUUACCAAUUCAAACACUUGAUGAUUUUUCCAAUAAUUUAGCACGACAAGACAAUAAUGUAUCUUUGCAUAAUGCUCAUAAAAAUAAAAAUAGUAAUAACUAAUAUGAAAAAAACUAUACAAGUACAACAGAAAUAAAGCACUAUCACAGUGAUGUGAAUUGAAAGCUGAAGGGAAAAUAUAGUAACUACAGUAGUAAGGUACCGAUACUAAUAUUUAAUAUUUAUGCAAGGGCAAAGUAGAAAAUUAUUACCGUCUUAAUGAGUUAUUGAUUUACCCAAUAUUUAAAAAUCAAAAUCAAAUCGAUAACCCAAUAAUUUAUUUUAUAAAAUCAUUAAAAAUUCAUUAACCCAAUAGCAAUAAAAAAAUAUCAUUUAUUUUGAUUCGAUUUAUUGAUCCAUUCAAUUUUUGCACAUUCAUACGGUGACGGAUCUAGGAUUUUCAUUCAGGGGGUUCAAACAAUAAAAAUAUAAACGUGUGAAUAAGCACGUUUGAAUUUUUUUGGGUCUAAUUAAAUAUACUCUUUUUUUAUAAAAAAAAAACGUGAAAGAUUGGUCCUGAAACUAAAUGAAGAGAAGGUAAAAAAAUAAAAUGACCACAAUGGGAUUAGAAAACCCUAGACAUGAGGGCCAAUCUAAUAGAAGAUCUACCACUAGACCACAACUUACUUCUUUUUCAUGAUAGGGUUCAAAAUUAUUAUAUCUGCAUAAAUUCAGAAAAUCUACCUUAUAUAUAUAAUGUAAUUUUUUGUCGAGGAGAUUCGGGUGAACUUCAGAGACCACGUGGAUCUGCCCCUGCAUCCAUACAUUCCUGACUUAUUUUAGACAAUAUUUUUAAAAAAAUUAUCUUAUAUUCAUGUCAAAUCAAAUUAUGUAUCAUAAAUUAAAACGAAAUAAAAUAUUCGAUCAACGGAUUAAAAAUAUCUUGCCGCCGAUGGCAAGGCCUUUAUUCUUUAGCAUAUAUCGAGGAGCCGAAAUUUAUAUUUGGCAGUUGGCACUUGGUGGAGCUCUUCUUGUAACAAGUCAUCAAAAUCUUUUAUUCUCCACUAUAUAUUAUAAAAAUAAAUAUUCUUUUAACAGUACACCACACCCUCUGCAAUCUGAAAACUAAAAAAAUUAAAAAACUGAAAAAAAAAUAAUUAAAAAUUAUAACGUCUGGAAACUCUAGAACAUACUAGAACAACAAUUAGUAACUACUAAAUAUAUCAUACUUGUUCUUCGUGCUCGUGGUCCUACUAGAGUUGGUGUUUAUCUAUACCGUCAAAUUAGCCUUCUUUUUAAUGUUAUUAAAUUAAUCUUAUACUAUUAUUAGUAUUAUAUUCCAACAUUGGUACAGUAUAUAUAAUAUAAUAUUAGUAGUAUGUUCAGCUGAGUGGGACUAGAUAUGCACCAUUUAAAUUUUGGGGUCAUGAUGAGAGAUCACAAGUAGCACUUUAAGUAAGUGUUUUGACCAUAAAUUUUAAAUAUUUUUUAUUUUAUUUAAAAUUUAUGGAAAUAAAAUGAUAUUUAAUUAUAGUUUUGUAAAAUUUGAAACAAUGUUUAUGUUUAAACAAUUUAAAUAUAAUUUUAAAAAAGAAAAGUGAGUUACAAAAUAAAUUAUAGUCUUUAUUUGUAGUAGUUUGUAGGAUGAGUCUGUAUCGUCUUUUCGAUUUUAAAGUAAGGAUGUUACUAGUCCAUUAACACAGGCUUAGAUCUAUUUUGUAAGUGAGCAGUUUUUGAUAGGUCUGCAAAAUUAAUCACUGUUGAUGACAUCACAUUAUCUUAAAUUAAGAAUAAUAAUUUAAUAUAAUGAAAAAAUGCUAGGCAACAAGAAUAGGUAUUAUUUUUCAAAUUUGAAAUUUUCAUUAUCAAGAAUUUUUUUUAACUAAAGUAAAUUACUCUAAAAAAAUAAAUCUUUUUAAUCAACGCCUUACGCAUUUGUGCCUUGAUGGUGUCAGAAUAAAAUUUUAAUACAUUAUUAAACCCACUGUAACGAGGCAAAUUUUAAUACUAUUUUAGUACGAUAAUGAAUUCCAACUUUGCCACGCAGUGAACCACAAAAAGAUAAUAAUAAAAAUACAAAGGAAUCAACAAAUUGCUGACUAUUUUCCAAACACUACAAUGUUGUUGCCAGUUGUCCUAGGUGUCUUUUUUGAUACUCCUCCCAUCUAUUUUUAUUUAUUCGUUAUAUUAAAAAUAAUGUUUUUGCUCAUAAGAACAUGAGUGAGUAGUUAAAAGGUGUGGAUUUUUUAUAUAGGAGAUUUGGAAUCGAAUUUAAUCCAUGUAUGUUAUUUGAUUAAACUUGUCGCAUGGAGCUUGUAUAGUGCAGUUCGCAUCUCUUAUAUCGUUUGCGACUUUUACAUAGUGGGUGAAGUUCGUAAAAAAAUAUUUUUACAUAUUCAACUUGAAAACUUAAAACAUAAUUAUUAUUUUGUAUUUAUUUCAUCUUUAUAAUUGAGUACUAAGUAUUGAUAUUUAAAUAUUAUAAAGAACAAUAAAAUAAAAUUAUCAAUUUCAUUAUUUAUUACUUAUUAAAAAAUAUAUUUAGUCAAACAUAAGCAAGUAAAUAUAAAUAUGAUCGGAGGAGAGUAGUAACUAUGCUACUUCAUGUUGAUGGAUUCUUAUGUCUUUUAAGAAAUUACAUUAUUCAUUUUAACAUUUAAUGUAUUAAAAUGUAAACUAUAAGUAUCUUGAAAUUUAAAAGUUUAGCUUGAAAAUUUAAAGAAGUUGUUAAAAUGCAUGUAUCUAAACUAUUUAAAUUAACUAGGAUUAAUUCUUUAUAUGAUAAUCCAUGUAUCCGAUUCUUUUUGUUUUUACCUUUUUUGGACAAAUUCUAUAUUUCGUGUCUCCUCCUAAAUUAGACUAUUAAAACUUAAGAUGAUUCGUCUUAAUUUUAACUUACAAAUGCAUUUGACUUUAUACCACUUUGACAAAGACACGUCCGUCGACGUGUCUGCUUCAGCUGCUUGCUUCAGCGUGUAUUUUUUAAAAAAAAAAAAAAAUUUUGUUCUACUUUAAUUUAAUUAGUGUAUAAUUUUCUUAGGAGUAUUAUAUAAGAGACAGUUUGUACUGAAGCAGGCAUGUCUCUAUCGACGUGCUUGCUUCAGCGUGUUUUUUUUAAAAAAAUUAAAAAUUUAUUUCUUUUGUUCUACUUUAAUUUAAUUAGUGUAUAAUUUUUUUAAAAUUAUGGAAUCCGUUUUAGCUAUGACUUUUAGUUUUAAAUUCAAGACUUCACGCUGAAGAAUGCACAUCUUCGUCAACGUGCCUGCUUCAGUCUGUUUCGAAAAUUUCUUUCAGUUUUUUUUUACUUCUUUUGUUAAUUAAUCAAAUAAAUUAAUAAUUAAUUAUAUUAAAUAUAUAUAACAAAAUUAUUUAAAAAUUAUAAUAAAAUGUCUACAUAAAUAUUUAACGUAGUAUAAUUGGAGUUAGACUUUACUAAAACUCAUGUAUACUUUGACACUAAAUGCUUGUUGAUAAGUAUGUGGAUAUGUUUGAACUUGAUAAUAUGAAAUAUGAUGCUUGAGUGCAUGAGUGGAUUGGAUACUAUAGAGUAGAACCACGCUGAUAUGGUACAUGAAUGGAAGCUAACCCCCUAUAGAUCAUGGUUAUUAGGCAUUCAUAAGACCCAUAAUGUUGUGUGAGUUCAUGAUGCAUUAGCUAUUAAAUGACUCUAUGACCUAUUAUAGAUAUGGUUGAUUUUGUGGUGACUAUACUUAUAUACUGCCAGUUGAUGUCUUGUGCUAAAGUUUGACUUAUGUGUUGUUUGGCUUACUGUUGCUUGUUUCUAAUUUGAGUCGGCCUAUAAUGUCUACCAAUUACUAAUGACUUGUAUUGAUAUUGUCUUGUACUCUUCUUUUAAUUUAUUGAAUGUAGAUCAUGUUCUAAAAGUUCUUUCGAGACCCCAAUUCUAGCGUAGUCAGUAGAUUUCGAUUAACACGACCAACCACAAACCAUGCAUAUGAGAGAUUAACAAUCUUCUCUUCGGGGUCAGUGGCAUCCUUGUUAUCAUGAUAUAGUCUAAAUUAAUGUCUGAAUCAUCAAGAUUCAAAUCAGACAUCUUCUAUAUCUAUGUAUUGUCAUCAUUUGAACGAGAACGAAAGCUCUCAUGUAGAGAGAUUUUUUUUUAAAAAAUGUUCUUCAAAUUGAAGGCAUCUGUCAAGUUUAAUUAAUAUUUUUGAAAAAAAAAUACAACCUUGAAUGAAAAUCUAAAUAAAGUUUAAUAAAAUUUGUAAAUAAUCGAACAAAAAAUACGAAAUUUGUCAAUUUAGUAAAAUUCGUGGACAAACUUAACAAUAUGCGAAAUGGAACCAAUCUCAAAACAUCCUCUUAACCAAACAAUAUUAAUCGAUUGAUGAAAUUUAUGAACACUUUAACAAGAUAUAUCGGUAGAAUAAAUACAAUAUCAAAAGUAGGCGUUUGGCCAUGCCAAUAUGAAUUGAUUUGGCGAAUAUAAAUAAGAACGGAGGGAGUAAUACUUUUUGGUUUUUCAUAAUAAAAAAACUUCUCUUUCGGCUACAUAUGGAAAUGUUUAAAACAAUUUAAUAUGAAAAAUGACAAAAUUGGUGAUGUAUGUUUGAUAAUCAUUACUUCCAAUAUGUUUGAUUUUAGCACGAAAUUAAUGCACUGAAAAUGUGUAAUUGCACACAAGUGAAACAAGUCAUGAACCAUAUGAUAUUGACAUACAAGUGAAAAUUGUCAUAACUUUUAUAGUGUUACAUAAUUAUUUGCGAUAAUACCAAAGGAGUGAUAAAAUAUUUAUGGUCUGUGAUCAUGAAACUAUAGUUGUGAAUGAUAUUGACCAACAAAUGACUCAAAGUAACAAUGUUGGUUCGUCUUCUAGGUCAUAUGAUCGAGAAAUGCAAGUUCAACGUGAGAAGAUUGUUCGUACUAUGUGGGAGGAUUAUAUUAAAUACUAGUACACUACAAUUUAUGUUCAAUAUUUUUUAUUGAAUUAAAGUUAGAUGACACAGUUAAUUAAGUGGAGAACAAAUAGCUUUGUAAUAAUUUAUUAUGCGAUUUUAUAAUUUUUUGUAAUUUGAUAAGAUUGAAUAAACAAUUGGAGCUAUUUUAAUAGUUUUAUAACUUAUGAGAUUCUUAUGUUUAUGAGAAAAUAUACAACACAAAAAUUUCAUAUCACAUGAAUUUCAUAUCACAUGUCCAAACAAAACUCCAACUUUAUCGCAUGAUUUCAUAUUAUGAUAUUAUAUCAUGAUUCUAUAUCGCAUGACCAAACGGGCCUAAAAUUGUCUCAUCCAACAUAAUUUGUUAAUAAGAUGAGAUUUCUAAAUCAAUAAAACUUAUGAACAAUUUAACCAAAUAAACAAAGUGAAAAUAAUAUAAUCUCUAUCACCUUUUGCAUGAUAUUUUUCCACCAACCCCCUUUCUUUGUUUUUUUUUUCAUUUCUUGAUAGUAUAUAGUUUUCAUUUUUUUAAUGAUGUCAAUCAAUAAUAGGGCAGUCAAUCCCACAAAUCAAGUUGCCCCAAACUGCUGUUUCAAAAAUCACUUCUUGCAACUUGCAAGCAACUUGCAACUCUUGUGGGCCCAAACCACACCUCAACCAUACCUAAGUUCCAGAACUUUCUUAUAAAGAACCUUCUCCUCCUUCCAAUUUCGAAACUACUUAUUAUUAAAAAAAUUGGAUUACAUAUAUUAUUCUCUCCGCUCCGUGUCAGCACACUUUCUUUUAGGUCCGUCUUAAAAAGUAUUACACAUUUUCUCAAAUAUUUAAUAAUAAUAUCAAUAUCUUAUGUAUGUUAGAUGACUAGAUCUACCACACAUAUAAAAUGUAAUUUUAUAUUUUAAAUUUUCAUAUCUUGUUAAACUACAUACAUAAAUUGAAACGGAGGAAAUAAUAAAUAAAAAAUUGCAUAGGAGGAAGAUGCUCACACCCCAAAUGUCUAGAAGUCUAGAACCUUCCACUUAAACAAUAUUUUAUUAGUACUAUCUUCUUUUUUUAAUUAUUUCUUAGCAACUCAAUAGGUGGAAUUGCUGACUCUUCUUUUCUAUUAAUAAUUAAUAGCCUUUUAGCACUUACUUACAAAGCUUCUUUAUCCCUGGUGUCCAAAGCAAUUUAUUCACUAAAAUAACUCAACUUCUUAACUGCAUAAACUACCUUCCCCAAAGAGUUGAGGAAUUGACAUAGAUAGACAAGUGUUACAUACAAUUGACAACAUAUAGCUCAAUAUUAAUUAGCAAUUAAUAAACAAAUAAAAAAUUGGCACAUAUUAGCCUAAAAAUAAUAUAUACAUUUUCUAAAUUAUUUUAUUAAUAAUAAAAGAUAUUUAAUAUCAUCUCUCUUCUAACUUCCAACCAUUACUCCUUACAACUAGCAAAAGAUUAUUUAGAAUUAUCUCUCCUUUCAAAUUAUUACGUAUUUUUUUUUAAAUAAUAAAAGAAAAUUAAUUACAUCCUUCUUCUAACUUCCAACCAUUUCUCCUUAAAACUAGCAAAAGAUUAUUCCUCUCUCCUUUCAAAUUAUUUCGUAUUUUCAAAAAUAAUAAAAGAAAAUUAAUACCAUCUCUAUUCUAUCUUCCAAUCAUUUCCACUUAAAACUAGCAAAAUACUGUUUAGAAUUAUAUCUUUUCUUAAAAUUAGCAAAUAAUAUUUUGAUUAUGAUUAUUCUUAUUUCAAAGGUAUUCCUAUGAGUUCAUUACCUGACAAUUAUUUUGCCUUUGAACUCAAUCCAUAUUGAAUACAUUUGUUUGUAUUCAUAAUAAAUUGAUAUACAUUUAUAUUUAUUUGCAUUAAUAUCUUCCAAAUUUUACAUAGGUAUACAUUUGUAUUGGAUACAUUCGUCUAUAUUCAUUUAUAAAUUGAUAUACAUUUGUUUGCAUUAGUAUCUUUCCAAUUUUACAUAGGUAUAUAGUUGCUUGCAUUACUAUUUUGGAAUGAAAUCAACAAAAUUCAUUAACAAAUUUUAAAAAGUUUACAUUGUUAUGUGUUCGUUUGUAUUCAUUAACAAAUUUAGAUACAUUUGUUGGAGACAAAAUAAAUAUUCAUUAUCAAAUUCAAAUAAUGAAAUUCAACAUUUUAAAAAAUUGUCAUAAAUAUAUUAAUUAAUAUUUAUUAAAAAUUGAAAAAACAACAAUUCUAGAAAUCACGAAACGUUGCAAUUUUUUGGGGAAGAAAACGUUGUAGAAUUAUAAUACAAAUACGAAAGUUUUUCAAAAGAAAAAAAUCUUGCAUCUAACUACAAGAUAAAGAAUUUAGAAAAUUUCAACUUUUUUUUAAAAAAUAACCCAAACAAUCAAUAUAAAAAAUUGGUAUGAUUUGAUUUACUUAUUGUGAAGAGUUAACUGUUGUGAUUGAUCUUUAAUGGAAAUAUUUUAGAGAAGAAAAUAGAAAUCCUAAACUUGAAAGAGGGAGAAAAAAAGGAAGAAAGAGAGAAAUUGAAAAAUACCAUAAUUCUUUUUGUUUAUAAAUUAUAAGGAGAGAGAAAAGAAACAAUAAAAGAAAACGUCCUAACUCCUGGGAAAUAGAGAGAGAAAAUAAGGAAAAUAUAUCAGUUUUUAAAAAAAGAGAAUGUGGCUAUUUAAUAUCAAAUAAAUAUUAAAAAAUCUUAUUUUGCUAAAAAGUUUAAAGUGGACUAUUUAUUGUCCAUAAAGACUAUGGAUUGUCAUGCUAUGCCAUUUUUUCAUUUUUAAAGUGAGUAACUUAAUUUUAGCCCGGAGAGGUCAAACUUCAUAUACAACUUACAAGUGUUUAUCGCAACUUCAAUUGCAUUAAAAUUUGGAACAAAGUGGUCAAACCGAUGUGUGUCAAUGCAAACAUAUGAAUAUUUCUACAAAUCAAUUGUUGCAUUAUAAUACUAAGUGCAACUUAACAAACUUAGAGGUCGUUUUGAUACGAUAUAUUAGAGAAAGUAAUACGUAAUAUGGUAUAUAAUCUAUUUAAAUUUAAUUUAGUUACUUUGGAAUAUUAAUAUAAUGCGCAAAAAAGUUUAUAUAUGCCACUAAAUUUUGGAAAUCGGGUCAAUUAUGGCAUCUGUCAAUAAUUAAUGUAAUAUGUUGUUCUUAUUUUAUCAUUGGGCGAAAUAUACCCUUAUUUAUUAAUGUGAGUUCAUGAUGCAUUAGCUAUUAAAUGACUCUAUGACCUAUUAUAGAUAUGGUUAAUUUUGUGGUGAUUAUACUUGUCUACUGUGAGUUGAUGCUCUGUGCCAAAGUCUUAUUUAAUUACUUGUUGUUUGUCUUACAUGUUGCUUGUUUUUAAUUUGUGUCGGCCAAUAAUAUAUACCAAUACUUAAUGAUUUGUAUUGAUACUACCUUGUACUCUUCUUUUAUUGAAUUCAAAUCGUGUUCUAGAAGUUCUUUCAAGACUCCAAUUCUAGCGUAAUUAGCAGAUUUCGAUUAACACGAUCUAUCACAGACCAUGAGAGAUUAACAAUCUUCUCUUCGGGGUCAGUGGCAUCCUUGUUACCAUGAUAGUCUAAAUUAAUGUCUGAAUAUCUUCUCUAUCUGUAUAUUGUCAUCAUUUCAAUGAGAAUGAAAGCUCUCGCGUAGAGAGAUUUUUUUUUUUUUAAAAAAAUGUUCUUCAAAUUGAAGGCAUCUUUCAAGUUUAAUAAAUAUUUUUGAAAAAAAUACAAACAUUGAAUGAAAAUAUAAUUAAAGUUUAAUAAAAUUUGUAAAUAAUUGAUCAAAAAAUACAGAAUUUGUUAAUUUAGUAAAAUUUGUGGACACCUUAACAAUAUGUGAAAUGGAAGUACUACUCUCACAACAUGCUCUUAACAAUAUUAAUCGAUUUAUAAAAUUUAUGAACAAUUUAACAUGAUAUAUAGGUAGAAUAAAGAUAAUAUUAAAACUAUGUCUCAUCCAACAUAAUUUGUAAAUAAAAUAAGAUUUCUAAAUCAAUAAAACUUAUGAACAAUUUAACCAAAUAAACAAAGUGAAAAUAAUAUAAUCUCUAUCACCUUUUGCAUGAUAUUUUUCCACCAACCCCCUUUCUUGUUUUUUUUUCUUGUCUUGAUAGUAUAUAGUUUUCAUUUUUUUUUAAUGAUGUCAAUCAAUAAUAAGGCAGUCACAAUCCCACCAAUCAAGUUGCCCGAAACUGCUGUUUCAAAAACCACUUCUUGCAACUUGCAACUCUUGUGGGCCCAAACCACACCUCAACCAUACCUAAGUUCCAGAACUUUCUUAUAAAGAACCUUCUCUUCCUUCCAAUUUCGAAACUACUUAUUAUUAAAAAAAUUAGAUUACAUAUAUUAUCCUCUCCGCUCCGUUUUAACACACUUUUCUUUUUAGUCCAUCUUAAAAAGUAUUACACAUUCUCUCAAAUAUUUACUAAUAAUAUCAAUAUAGAUGACUAAAUCUACCACACAUAUAAAAUGUAAUUUUCUAUUUUAAUUUUUCAUGUCCAAUCAAACUACGUACAUAAAUUGAAACGGAGGAAAUAAUAAAUAAAAAAUUGCAUAGGAGGAAGAUGCUCACACCCAAAUGUCUAGAAGUCUAGAACCUUCCACUUAAACAAUAUUUUAUUAGUAUUAUCUUUUUUUUAAAAUUAUUUCUUAGCAACUCAAUAGGUGGAAUUGCUGACUCUUCUUUUUUUAUUAAUAGCCUUUUAGCACUUACUUCCAAAGCUUCUUUAUCCAUGGUGUUCAGAGCAAUUUAUUCACUAAAAUAACUCAACUUCCUAACUGCAUAAACUACCUUACCCAAAGAGAAACUUUCCAUUUCCAAAAUCCAAAAUCCAAACUUUUUUCUUCCUAAAAAUACAUAUAUUUUCCCCUGUUUCUUGAUGAUGAAUCAAUUGUAUUCUGUUAAAGAGGAGUUCCCGGGGUCAAGUUCUGGUGGGGGUGAGCCCCCACCGCUGACACCACAACCAAUGGAAGGGCUUCAUGACAUUGGUCCACCACCAUUCCUUACAAAGACAUAUGAAAUGGUGGAUGAUUCAACUAUAGAUCAUGUUGUUUCUUGGAACAGAGGAGGUCAAAGCUUCGUAGUCUGGGAUCCUCAUGCCUUUUCAACUACACUACUUCCCAGAUUCUUCAAACACAACAAUUUCUCAAGCUUUGUCAGACAGCUAAAUACUUAUGUAAGUAUAUAUAUAUAUAACUUCGUCAAAAAUCAAUGAACUCCUCUAAUACAUUUUUUUUUUCAAGUGGGAAACUUUCGUUCAUAUAUACUUACUUGCUCCUGAUUGCUAAAUCUUUGUGAACACACAAGUGAACAAGGCUAUUAGUAGGAAGGAGAAUCUCAAAAAUAAAUAAAAUCCCAUUUGGAGUAUUAAUGUGAUGAUAUAUGGAUGCAACUUAACUUUUUAGAAUUGUGUUUUUUUUUUAUUAUUAAUUUCAGACGAAUUAAGAUCUGGUGAUGUUCCUCUGAUGAAUCCUUCAAGUUCUGGUGGUUGGUAUAACAUAUUAAAAUAUUCAUCGUGCUGCGGACCCAAAAAAAAAAAAAAGCACUAGUGUCAAGAAUUGUUUGCUAAGAUGGAUCUUGGAAAAAUUUGGAAGAUGAUGAUACUAAGCUGUAGAUGGGAUUUGAUUGUUGCAGGGAUUUAGAAAGAUUGAUCCAGAGAGAUGGGAAUUCGCAAACGAGGCAUUUCUAAAGGGGAGUAAGCAUCUUCUAAGGAACAUCAAGAGGCGAAAAACGCCUAAUUCUCCUACAGAGCAAGGUCUCGGUCCUUGUGUCGAAUUGGGAAGAUUUGGAUUUGAUGGAGAAAUUGAUCGAUUGAGGCGUGACAAGCAAGUAUUGAUGAUGGAACUAGUGAAGCUUAGACAGAAUCAACAGAAUACUCGAGCUUACAUUCGAUCUUUGGAGGUAAAGUUACAAGGAACAGAGAGGAAGCAGCAACAAAUGAUGAAUUUUUUAGCAAGAGCUAUGCAAAAUCCGGAGUUUGUCCAUCAGUUAAUCCAUCAAAAAGGGAAGAGAAUAGAAAUUGAAGAGGAUAUAACUAAGAAAAGGCGACGACCUAUUGAUCAUCAAGGUCCUGUUAGUACAUUACAUGUUGGAGGAUCUAGCCAUUACAUCAAAUCAGAACCCUUGGAAUUCGGAGAGGCUAACGGAUUCCAAGUGUCUGAACUUGAAGCACUUGCAUUAGAAAUGCAGGGAUUUGGUAGAGCAAGAAAAGAUCAACAAGAAGAGUACACGAUAGAAGGGCUUGAACAAUUUGGCAACACAGAUAAAGAACUUGAUGAGGGGUUUUGGGAAGAGCUAUUUAACGAUGAGGACGUGUCUGGAAAUGAAGACCGUGAAGAGGAAGAUGUAGAUGUCUUGGCAGAAAGGUUAGGGUUCUUUUAUUCGAGACCUUAGUAAAAGCCCUAAAACUAGUUUUGUCUCAUGUGCUUUUCCAAGAACUCAUUCAUCAGCUGGACCGUUACAUCGAAAUCUUGUAUGAACUUACAUUGUGUUAUAUACUACUACUACUACUAGUUAACUUAUGUGUCUUGAUUCUGUGUAGUGAGUUUUCAAGUUUUCAACGACGAAUGAAGAAAGCAGCUAUAUGGAUCAACCAGCUACUCGUUGGUAAGUUUUUUCUUUCGGAACAAAUAUUCUAGUCUCUUUCUGUGCAACUUUAGGCCUUUCUUGUAAACUUUAUUUUAAUUUCAUUGACAGGAUAGAUUCAUGAAGGACUCAAGAGUCAAGUCUGAAAAUCCCUUGUUGGUUUUUCUGGUUACUAUUUAUGUUCUCAGUUAUUGGUUUCCUUUCAAUGCCUUUGUUACAUCUCUGCCUCUUAUUCUUGUUUUUUUUCUCUGGAUCCAAAUGCAGGCAUAGGUUAUGCAGAAUUUGAUCAAGUCUAUGGUCUUUCAAGGUCAUUUUGGGUAAUAAAAAAUGUCAACGAGUGCAUGUUGAAUUCUUCAAAAGUAAUGUAUUUUUGAAGAAACUGAUACGAGUGCGGCAUCAAAGUAAUAUUGAAAUGUUGUCCUUGCUUGUGUGGUGAAUAGAUUGUUGUCUUUAUGAUGAAGACAUAGGUAACAAACAGAAAUCCCAAUUACAUCAGAAUCAAGAUUUCACCACAAGUGGCGGUUUGUAACUACUUUGCUGACAAAGAUUUAAUUUGUUUGCCAUUUAGUGUCCUUGUCUCUAUUUGUGAGAAAUGAAUCAUGUCCAAUUGUCCAUGUUCCAUAUAAAAAAAAAUCUCCUUUUGUUGGCUUUAGGAAUGAAAAUUUAAAUAAAAUAAACUAGAAAUGGAGAUGAAACAUAUAAUUAUAUUCGAGUCCACUGAAUUUAGAGUGUAUUCUUAAGAAACUCGAUCCAUGUUAGUAUUGGAGGUAUAGGAUUAUUUUCUCCCAAGAUAAAUCACAUUAACGUAACGAUACUUCAAACUCCAAUGUACAUAAAACUCAAAGAACCAAACCGCUGUGAUUGGCACCCAUACUAACCCUCUGGUGGAAGAACCAUUACUACAACCCAACUAAACAAUACUAACCGAAAGACGGGCAUUUAAAGAUGUGGAAACAGGUUUAAAUAAUUAAUUUAAAAUUUGAGUUCCCAUAAACUCAGUAAGUUUUCAAAAACAAACAUAAACAAAUGGAAAUUCAACCCCUAAAACCUAAAAGUCAUUGUACCACAAUUUCUAACUAAACAGUCUAAGAUAAGGGGAUACAACCCCACAAUAACUAAACAUAAAGUAAAGAUUCUGAAAGGUCUAAGCCCGAAGGAAAUGGACUAAGAUCCUAGAUGAAUAUAAUCCAUGGUAGCCUGAAGGAACUGGCUCACCCUUGAACUCGACAAGUUAGUGAUCUCCUAGCUGAGGUCUCUCAACAGCCGUCUAAAGAUGUCAUGUACUCAACAAAGAAAGAGAAAGUGCAGUAUUAGUACACAAACCAAUGGUAUACUGGUAGAAUCGCGCGACUAUUCCAGUAAAUGAGACAUACACAAGUAACUACUUCAUAUUAAACCACACAUAUACAGAAAGAAUAACAAUUUACCAGUUCAUGCUCAAUAUAUCAGUUUCACAAUAUCAAAUCUCAAAUGCAACAGUCAAUGAUGGUUCUCCCAUGGAACCCACACUCAAACUUUUAGUGUGUCGGAACGUGACACCCGAUCCAAUAAUGUGUCAGAACGUGACACCUGAUCCAAUCAUGUGUCAGAACAUGACACUCGAUCCAAUCAACCACAAUCACAAACAUAAUCAGCACCACAAUGAAUGAUUUACACACUUGUGUCGUACAAUCACGUAACGGUUCAUUGCAUGCUACAGAAUCACAAAUAGUCAUUUCAUUAGAGUCAUUUCAUCUUUCUUUAUUCACUUACAUGCAUGAUUACAAUGGAGUAGUUAGCAGACAUAUAUAACACAAACGGAAAAUCAAAUUAUUACGUACCUUGAAGCCAAGCCUGAACACUCUUAAGGAACUUGAACUUUUCCUUUCCGGAGUCUCUCAGCUUGUUCUUGGUCUAAAACAAGUAAUUAAUGCAAAUGAUCAAUAAUAGUGGCCUAGUUUACUCGGAUUAUAUUCAAAUACUAACCCUUGGAUGAUUCCAUGAUUCUAACACCCAACUAGGGCUUUUUCCACUAUUAAAUUUAAAGCCAAAACCCUCCCCAAGGUUAAAUAGCAAGGAUUCUAAGUUCUAAGAAUCAAUUUACGAAUUAGGGGAGUAAUUGACUUACCUUUAGCGCGAAAAUUAGUGAAAAACAAGAAGAAAUAGCCCUAGGUCGCCCUUUUGCUUUCCAAGAACGAAGUUUGCAGAAAAAUAACAUUUUUGGGACUUUUUCCAUUUUUACUCGCGACUGGCCCGCAAUAGCAGGAAUGAUCUCGUCGUGGCAGUUUGCACGAAGAUAGAGACUCAAAAUUUGUGUUUCAAGUCCCCAUUUUACAACACACCCUCAAACCUUGAUAUUCUAAAACCACUAUUUCACGCUAAGAUCAAUUACGGAAGUUCUACCCACCCGAAUUUGAUUUUGUAAUAUCGUACAGACUCAUUAUCGUCUUGGCUAUCCACACAAAUGAUUAAAUUCAUAAUCUAAUCCCAUAUCCAUUACCGGAUUACCCUAGACCUUAUCUAACUCAGAUUUCGUCCAAGUCUGGCCUAGGCUGAAAAUUUCCAAGUUACUACUCAAAAAAUUGCUGGCCCAAAUUUCUUCCCCAUUUACUUAUCCAUAACGACGGGAAUAGGAAGUUACACACUUGAAGUGAGUAAAGAUCCAUUUCGACCUCAAAAAGAGAAUGAGGAACCUCUUGGUCCUGAAGUACCAUAUCUUAGUGCAAUUGGUGCACUUAUGUAUCUUGCUAAUACUACGAGAGCUGACAUAACAUUUUCUAUUAAUUUUUUUAGUAAGGUAUAGUUCUUUUCCUACACGAAGACAUUGAAACGAAUUUAAACAUAUAUUGUGAUAUCUAAAGGGGACCAGUGAUAUUAGUUUAUUUUAUACUAACAAAGAUAGUGCAGAUAUUGUUGGUCAUGCAGAUGCAGAUUAUUUAUCUGACCCACAUAAAGCUCGAUCUCAAACAAGCUAUUUGUUCACAGACGGAGGUAUUGUUAUAUCAUGGAGAUCUAUGAAGCACUCCAUUGUCGCUAGUUCUUCAAAUCAUGCUGAGAUAAUAGUUAUUCAUGAAGCAAGUGGAGAAUAUGUAUGGUUGAGGUCAGUAAUACAUUUCAUCAAGGAAAGAUGUGGUUUGAAGUGUGAUGUCAAGGUACCCACGAUCCUCUUUGAAGACAAUGUUUCAUGCAUAGCCCAAUUAAGAGGAGUCUUCAUAAAAGGAGAUAGAACUAAACAUAUUUCACCAAAAUUAUCCUUCACAUAUCUCCAGAAGAAUGGUGAUAUUGAUAUACAACAAAUUUGUUCAAGAGAUCAUCCAACGGGUUUAUUCACCAAAUCAUUACCAGCUUCAACUCUUGAGAAGAUGGUAGACAAUAUUGGAAUGUGAAGACUAAACCAUUUGAAUCGUGGUCCUUAUCAGGGGAAGUAAAAUAUGCAGUGUACUCUUUUUUCAUUAACCAAAAUUUUUUCCCACUGAAUUUUUCUGGUAAGAUUUUUAAUGAGGCAGCAAGCAAUGCAUAUUAGAAAUGACUAUGUAUAUAUUUAUUCUUUCACUAGGACUAAUCUUUUACAUGGACAUCUAAGAAGGAGCGUUUAAAAUAAAGGGUGAAUAUUCAUGUGAAUAGAAUUCACUCUUUGGUAGGCUACUUUUGGUCCAUCACAUUACUCCUUGAUGGCCUAGGUACUAAAUUUGUUCAACAAAUUCGGCUAUAAAUAGCUUUUCUUAAAUGAGAAAGAAAGUGCACUCCAUACAAUUCUCUCUUUUACUCAUCUACUUUAAGUGCUAUUUAAGUUUUGUUCUCAUUGUUCUUCCUAUUUAAUCCAGUUUGUUAAGCUAGUUAUUUUAUUUUAUAACAAAAGUCAAUUUUACAUGUUUCUAUCAUAUUAGCAAAAAGAAGACGUCUCUGAAUGUCUUAAAUCAGUGUUUUCAAAAAUGUUUUUUGGGGUGAGUCUAGUAGCGGGACGCAUCAAAAACGCAUCGGGGCGCAAAUGUAAGGCGUAGAUCCAUAGGGUGUAAGUCCUAAAAUUUGGGGUAUAAGCUCCAAGCUUAAAAACGUACGCCUGGGCUUAAAAACGUAUGCAUUGGGAGUUUUUCUUAAAUUAUUUUUGAAUUGUUUUGCUUUAAAUCAUAUUUUUAUCAUUGGUGUAAUGAUAUUUCUCAGAUAGUAAUGGUAAUACUUUUUUUCUUCAUUAUUGGUGAUUAAUAUCUUUCUCAAAUAAAAAUCAUUUUUUUUUUAUAUAUAUAUUAUAGGUUAUUUAAUAAAAUUUAUUUGUAAAAUAAUUGAAAGUUUUACUUUAAUUUUUUUUUAGUAAUAAAAUUAUAAAAUUGAAUAUACAUAAGACUACACCCCGUAGAUCCAUAAGACUUACACCCUGUGUCUCGGGGAUUACGUCUCGCCCUGUACUACAUAAAACGUCUCGCGUCACAUCCCCACCUUUUAAAACACUGCUCAAAACAAAUCAAAUUUCCACUCUAAUUAAACCGUGACAAUUUCUCAAUUCCAUGCAGAGUACAAUAUUAUAUAUACAAAUUAAGCACAUAAAAGAAGAGAGUUUUCAAUAUUAGAUUUUCACAAAAAUAUGUAAAGCUAGAGGACUUUAAUUUGUACCUUUUAUUUUUGGUGUGUGAUUGGAUUUUUCUUAAUAAAUAGUAAUAUAACAAAGUUAUCCUUAUUCAAGGGGAGUGAAUUGUCACCCUCUCGUUGGCAAAUUAUAACGUAUAAAUAGGUUAAAAUUUUCUUUUUAUGUAAAUAUAUUAUAUGUUAAAUUUUGUUAAUAAAUAAAAUUAUAUUUCAACUCUAAUUUGGCAUUCAUGUAGAGUAAUUAAGGCUAUCAUAUAUAGUUGGGGCACCAUGGCCAAAAUAAAAAUAAAAAUUGUUCUUUCAAAUAAAGUACACACAUAUGAUAUAUAUAUAUAUAUAUAUAUAUUAUCAUACGCAAAAUUAUCUUACAAAGUGUUCUCAUCAUCUGUGGUGUGAUCAGCUCGCAUCACAUUUAGAUUUUAGAGUGAGUCUCGAUCUAGACAUAACACAUGAAAAAAAUUAAUUAAUCUUGCUAGGUUCAUCAUUAUAUACUUAUUGAAUACUCGUACAUGAGUGUAUCAAUUAUAAGUUAGUCUCAAAAAAUGAAAUAUUUUCAUACUAGUAAUAAUUAUAUUUUAAAAUAUUCAUUUUACUCUUAAAAAAAUUAUUUAUAGUAACACACAGUUAUAUAUAGGGAUGUGUAUCGAUUAGUGCGGUUUGAUUUUAUAUAUUAUUGAUUCGGUAUAUCGGUUUGAUUUUUAAAUAUGCUUAACCAAUAACUAAAUCAACAAGAUUACUUUUUUAUCAGUCUUCAGUUUAUUGAUUUGUGGUCCUUAACGGUUCGGUUUUCAAUUUAACCAAUGAAAAAAAGGAAAAAUUACUGAAAUACACGUCUUUUGUUUCCCUUAUUUCCAAUAUCACCUUCUAUUUCUAAAAACCUCUAAAAUCCCUUAUUUCUUUAAUGUAUCUGAGCUACAUAUUAAUGUAUCCGAGCCAGUAUUUAAUGUAUUCGAGCUACAUAUUAUGUAUCCGAGCUAGUUUUUAAUGUAUCUGAGUUACAUAUUAUGUAUUCAAUGUAUGUUAUAUGUAUCCGAGCUACAUAUUAUGUAUCCGAUUUGUGUUACUUUUUAAGGGAUUAAUGUAAUUACAAACUAAUGAGGGAUAGAUUGUAAUUUCAUAUUAAAACUAUGGGAUUUAUGUAAGUUAUACAUGAAAAAAUGCUCAUAAGAUAAAUAUAUGAUUAUUCCAAUAAUUUAGCACGAUGGGACAAUAAUGUAUCUUUACAUAAUGCUCAUAAAAACAAAAACAGUAGUAACUAAUGUGAAAAGAACUAUACAAGUGCAACACAAAUAAAAGCACUAUGACAAUAAUGUCAAUUGUAAGCUAAAAGGCAAAUACAGUAUAAAUAAAAGCACUAACUAGCAAGGUAUGCAAGGGCAAAGUAGAAAAUUAUUACCGUCUUAAUGAGUUAUUGAUUUAAUCAAUGUUUAAAGAUCAAAAUUGAACCGAUAACCCGAUAAUUUAUUUUAUAAGACCAUUAAUAAUCCGAUAGCAAUAAAGCAAUAUCAUUUAUUUUGAUUUGAUUUAUUGAUCCAUUCAAUUUUCGCACAUCCAAACAUCCCUAACUUAUUUUAGACGAUAUGUUUUUAAAAAUAAUUUUAAUUUUCAUGUAAAAUCAAAUAAGGGAAGAUCAACGGAUUAAAAAUAUCUUGCCGCCGAUGGUUACGCCUUUAUCCUUUAGCAUAAAUCGAGGAGCCGAAAUUUAUAUUUGGCAGUUGGCACUUGGCACUUACUGUAUUUUUUUCUCAAUCAAUCUCAUUUAAUUAGUUGUAAAAUGUUGAAGAAAAUUAUCUUUUAUUCUCCACUAUAUAUUAUAAAAAUAAAUAUUCUUUUAACAGUAUACCAUACCCUCUGCAAUUUCUGAAAAUUAAAAAAAUUUAAAAACUAAAAAAGAUAAUUAAAAAUUUUAACGUCUGGAAAACUCUAGAACAUACUAGGAUAACAAUUAGAAACUACAAAAUAUGUAUUUUUUUUUAAUAUAUCAUACUUGUUCUUCGUGCUCGUGGUCCUACUAGAGUUGGUGUUUAUCUAUACCGUCAAAUUAGCCAUUUUUUUAAUGUUAUUAAAUUAAUAUUAUACUAUUAUUAGUAUUAUAUUCCAACAUUGGUACAAUAUAUAUAAUAUAAUAUUAGUAGUAUGUUCAGUUGAGUGGGACUAGAUAUGCACCAUUUAAAUUUUGGGGUCACAAGUAGCACUUUAAGUAGGUGUUUUGACCAAAAUUUUUGAAUAAUUUUUAUUUUAUUUAAAAUUUAUGGAAAUAAAAUUAUAUUUAAUUACAGUUUUGUAAAAAUUUGAAACAAUGUUUAUGUUUAAACUAUUAAAAUAUAAUUUUACAAAUGAAAGUGAGUUGCAAAAUAAAUUGUAGUCUUUAUUUGUAGUAGUUUGUGGGAUGAGCCUGUAUCGUCUUUUCGAUUUUAAAGUAGGGAUGUCAUUAGUCCAUUAACACAUGCUUAGAUCUAUUUUGUAAGUGAGCAGUCUUUGAUAGGUCUGCAAAAUCAAUCAAGAAAAUCUAAUAAAUCAACUAUUGAUGGCAUCACAUUAUUUUAGUCAUAUUGAUAUUUUAUAUUAUAGUCGUAUAAAUUAAGCUAUUGUCAGACUUUAUAGAAAAUAUCACAUUAAUUUUAUUAUUAUUAUAUUUUCGAGAGAUAUUGUCAGACUUUGUAGAAAUCACCACAUUGAUUAUUUUUUUUGGUGUUAUAUUCUUUAUGUUUAUUAUUUGCAUAUUUUAGUUUGACUCAGCAAGAAUAGGUAUUAUUUUUCAAAUUUGAAAUUUUCAUGAUCAAACAUAAUUUUUUUAAAAUAAAGUAAAUUACUCUAAAAAAAUAAAUCUUUUUGAUCAACGCCUUACGCAUUUGUGCCUAGAUGGUGUCAGAAUAAAAUUUUAAUACAUUAUUAAACCCACUGUAACGAGGCAAAUUUUAAUACUAUUAUAGUACGAUAAUGAAUUCCAAUUUUGCCACGCAGUGAACCACAAAAAGAUAAUAAUAAAAAUACAAAGGAAUCAACAAAUCUAUAUAUAUAAAGGUGGAUAUCAAACAUGCUGAUGUGGCGCUCUCUAAGGCCAAGAAAUCUAUUUAUCUAUUUUCUUCUUUUUUAAAAUUUUUUUUUUUUUAGGUUUUUCCUAUCAAAUAAAAUAAUUAUUUUUACCAUCUAAUUGAAAGUAAUUACCACAUAUUUAUUGCUUAAUUUAAAGUGGUACAUCAUAAGUUAUAACAACCCUUUGCCUUCUUCUUUGUAACAACCCAAUUAUGACAUGUCUUUUGGCCUUCUCCCAAAUCCAAUUAAAACAUUACGUGCUUAGUUAUCACCUUCUAUCGUUUUAUUUUAUCUUGGUCUAAUAGUGAUUUAUUGUAUUAAAUAGUAAUAUUUAAUUGUCCAUUUUUUUAAUUAAGAGUGAGUAGUAUUUAAUUGUGUAUAUAUAUAUUUUGAAAAUCAGAAAUUUGCAAGAACACUAUUCAAAACUCAAAUUCAUAACAACAUUCUUCAUAUUGCUAACCUUUUUAGAUUUUUAUUGUGCGAGCCAAUCUCCGAUCAAGAAAGAAUGGUUUUGCUCGACGAAGAAUGAUUUUGAUCAGUAUUUGANNNNNNNNNNNNNNNNNNCAGAAUUUGUUACAAUUCAAGUACAAGUAAUUUCAAGGUAGUUUUUGAAGCAGGUUAUAGACAUAAAUUUAAUAUUGAUAUUUUACAUAUCUAAAUGUUUAGUCGUUAUUCUCAUAAUAGCUCUUUUCUCCUUUUCAAUAAAUUUAUAGUACGUAGUUCUUACACUUUUUUUUUUUGUACAAACGUAGUUCUUAUGAUUAGUAGCAUGUUAGUUAAACCUUUUGUUUAGAUAUAUAAAUUUCUGAAGUUAGUGUGGCGAGAAAUCUAUAUACAUUUCUUUCUUUUUUUAUCUUUACCUUUGUAAUUAAUGAAUUGUUAGCUAUGAUUUGUUUUUCUCCUCCUUUUUUAGUUUUAAUAUGUUCCUUUCUUAUUUGACAAUUGUUAUAAAUCAUUCGUUUGUUACAUGAAUAAGGUAGAAUAUCAGGAUCAAAGUUGAAAUUAAAUUUAUAAUUUAUUUAUUUGAGAUAUAAAUUUAGAUAGAAUUAUAAUUUUGAAAUAACUUUGUCCGCAAACCAAAAAAUUCUUCAAGGACUAUGUUGGGAGCAUGAUAUAUUGAUUCAAUCUCCUUCUUUAGAAGGCAUUUCGCAAUACAAAUUAGCUAAUGUGUGGACAUAUAUCUAUAAUUUCAUAAACGAAUAUCUUUUGAAUAUCGAAUAUUUUUUUUAAAAAUGACUACAAGCGCAAAUCAUUAUUGUGAUCACUAAAUCUACAUCUUAUUUUCGUUAACACAACUUUGAUUUAGUUGUUAUAUCAAUUUUCGGACUUCCAUAUUCUUUUUUAUAGUAUAGAUUUAUAUGAUAUUAGUUUUUUAUGAUUUUAUUUAAACAUGACAUGUAAUUCUUUUCUUCCAUUUGUAAUCUUCCCCUAAUUGCUACUUUUGAUUUUAAGAUUGCCAUCUCUUGGACUAAAAAUCACUAAAAUUCUCUAAAUUCUUUUGAGACCAAAUGUGUCUCUCAUUAUGUAAACUAGGGGGUGAGUGCCCGUGCAAGGCAUGGACAAAUUUUUUAUUGAUGUGAAAAUAACGAAGGCAUAAUUGUAUUUAGAAAAUAUAUUACAUACGUAUUGUACAAGGUUAUACAUGAAGCUUAAUGUAGAAGAGAAAAUAAAGAUAUUAAUAUUGCAAUUGCAUGUAAGGUUGUUGAAGCUGAAUACUGUGUGAAGGUAAUGCAGAGCAGGAGAUGAACCAAUGCACGCUUCAAGUCUUUACUUUCAGCUUAGGAUGACUCCUGAGUGUUCCAUACGCCUCAAGAUUUUUAUAUUUUACAUAUGUAUAUCUUACAUUUAUAUUUUUAUUGCAAUUUUUUAUCAAUUAAAUAAAUUUAUAUAUACCGCGCGUAGCGCGGACAAUUUCACUAGUUGAUGACUAUUUUCCAAUACUACAAUGUUGUUGCCAGUUGUCCUAGAUGUCUUUUUUGAUACUCCCCCGAUCUAUUUUUAUUUAUUCGUUAUAUUAAAAAUAAUUUUUUUGCUCGUAAGAACAUGAGUGAGUGGUUAAGAAGUGUGGAUUUUUUUUAUAUAGGAGAUUUGGGAUCGAAUUUAGUCCAUGUAUGAUAUUCGAUUAUAAAUUUGUCGCAUAGAACUUGUAUAGUGUAGUUCACAUCUCUUGUAUAGUUUGCGACUUAUACAUAGUGGGUGGAGUUUGAAAAAAAUAAUAUUUUUACAUAUUUAACUUGAAAACUUAAAACAUAAUUAUUAUUUUGUAUUUAUUUCAUCUUUAUAAUGGAGUACUAAGUAUUGAUAUUUAAAUAUUACAAAGAACAAUAAAAUAAAAUUAUCAAUUUCAUUAUUUAUUACUUAUUAAAAAAAUAUAUUAGUCAAACAUAAGCAAGUAUAAAUAUAAAUAGGAUCGGAGGAGAAUAGUAACUUUAUGCUACUUCAUGUUGAUGGAUUAUUAUGUCUUUUAAAAAUUAAAUUAUUCAUUUAACAUUUAAUGUAUUAAAAUGUAAACUAUAAAUAUCUUGAAAUUGAAAAGUUUAGCUUGAAAAUUUAAAGAAGUUGUUAAAAUACAUGUAUCUAAACUAUUUAAAUUAACUAGGAUUAAUUAUUUAUAUGAUAAUCCCAUGUAUCCGAUUUUUCUUGUUUUUACCUGUUUUGGACAAAUUUUAUAUUUCGUGUCUCCUCCUAAAUUAGCCUAUUAAAACUUAUGAUGAUUCGUCCUAAUUUUAACUUAUAAAUGCAUUUGACUUUAAACCACUUUGACAAUGACACGUUCGUUGACAUGCCUGCUUCAACGUGUUUUUUUUUUAAAAAAAUUAAAAAUUUAUUUCUUUUGUUCUACUUUAAUUUAAUUAGUGUAUAAUUUACUCUUAUUAUAUAAGAGACAGUUUGUGCUGAAGCAGGCACGUCUCCGUCGACGUGCCUGCUUCAACGUGUUUUUUUAAAAAAAAUUAAAAAUUUCUUUCUUUUGUUCUACUUUAAUUUAAUUAGUGUAUAAUUUUUUUUAAAAUUAUGGAAUCCGUUUUAGAUAUGACUUUCAGUUUUAAAUUCAAGAAUUCACGCUGAAGCAUGCACUGUCUUCGUCAACGUGACUGCUUCAGCCAAUUUCGGAAAUUUCUUUCAAUUUUUUUUUUACUUCUUUUGUUAAUUAGUCAAAUAAAUUAAUAAUUAAUUAUAUUAAAUAUAUAUAACAAAAUUAUAUAAAAAUUAUAAUAAAAUGUCUACAUAAAUAUUUAACGUAGUAUAAUUGGAGUUAGACUUUACUUAAACUCACGUAUACUUUGACACUAGAUGCAUGUUGAUAAGUAUGUGGAUAUGUUUGAACUUGAUAAUAUGAAAUAUGAUGCUUGAGUGCAUGAGUGGAUUGGAUACUAUAGAGCUGAUAUGGUACAUGAAUGAAGCUAAUCAUCUUUAUAAUUGAGUACUAAGUAUUGAUAUUUAAAUAUUAUAAAGAACAGUAAAAUAAAAUUAUCAAUUUAAUUAUUUAUUACUUAUUAAAAAACAUAUUUAGUCAAACAUAAGCAAGUAAAUAUAAAUAGGAUCGGAGGAGAGUAGUAACUAUGCUACUUCAUGUUGAUGGAUUCUUAUGUCUUUUAAGAAAUUACAUUAUUCAUUUAACAUUUAAUGUAUUAAAAUGUAAACUAUAAGUAUCUUAAAAUUUAAAAGUUUAGCUUGAAAAUUUAAAGAAGUUGUUAAAAUGAAUGUAUCUAAACUAUUUAAAUUAACUAGGAUUAAUUCUUUAAUGAUAAUCCAUGUAUCCAAUUUUUUUUGUUUUUACCAUUUUUGGACAAAAUUUAUUUUUCGUGUCUCCUCCUAAAUUAGACUAUUAAAACUUAAGAUAAUUCGUCUUAAUUUUAACUUAUAAAUGCAUUUGACUUUAAGACGUGUCUGCUUCAGCGUGUUUUUUUUUAAAAAAAUAAUUUUAUUUCUUUUGUUCUACUUUAAUUUAAUUAGUGUAUAAUUAUCUUAUUAUAUAAGAGACCGUUUGUGCUGAAGCAGGCACGUCACCAUCGACGUGCUUGCUUCGGCGUGUUUUUUUUAAAAAAAUUAUUAUUUCUUUUGUUCUACUUUAAUUUAAUUAGUGUAUAAUUUUUUUAAAAUUAUGGAAUCCGUUUUAGCUAUGACUUUUAGUUUAAAAUUCAAGACUUCGCGCUAAAGCAUGCCCGUCUCCAUCAACGUGCCUGCUUCAGCAAAUUUCGGAAAUUUCUUUCAAAAAAAAUUACUUCUUUUGUUAAUUAGUCAAAUAAAUUAAUAAUUAAUUAUAUUAAAUAUAUAUAACAAAAUUAUUUAAAAUUAUAAUAAAAUGUCUACAUAAAUAUUUAACGUAGUAUAAUUGGAGUUAGACUUUACGUAAGCUCACGUAUACUUUGACACUAAAUGCUUGUUGAUAAGUAUGUGGAUAUGUUUGAAGUUGAUAAUAUGAAAUAUGAUGCUUGAGUGCAUGAGUGGAUUGGAUACUAUAGAGUAGAACCACACUGAUAUAGUACAUGAACGAAGCUAAUCCCCUAUAGAUCAUGGUUAUUAGGCAUACAUAAGACCCCUAAUGUUGUGUGAGUUCAUGAUGCAUUAGCUAUUAAAUGACUCUAUGACCUAUUAUAGAUAUGGUUGAUUUUGUGGUGACUAUACUUAAAUACUGUCCGUUGAUGUCUUGUGCUAAAGUUUAACUUACGUGUUGUUUGUUUCUAAUUUGAGUCGGCCUAUAAUGUCUAUCAAUACAUAAUGACUUGUAUUGAUAUUGGCUUGUACUCUUCUUUUAAUUUAUUGAAUGUAGAUCAUGUUCUAAAAGUUCUUUCGAGACCCCAAUUCUAGUGUAGUCAGCAGAUUUCGAUUAACACGACCAACCAUAGACCAUGAGAGAUUAACAAUCUUCUCUUCGGGGUCAAUGACAUCCUUGUUACCAUGAUAAAGUCCAAAUUAAUGUCUGAAUCAUCAAGAUUCAAAUCAGAUAUCUUCUCUAUCUAUAUAUUGUCAUCAUUUGAACGAGAAUGAAAGCUCUCAUGUAGAGAGAUUUAAAAAAAAUAUUGUUCUUCAAAUUGAAGGCAUCUGUCAAGUUUAAUUAAUAUUUUUGAAAAAAAAUUUACAACUUUGAAUGAAAAUCUAAAUAAAGUUUAAUAAAAUUUAUAAAUAAUUGAACAAUAAAUACGAAAUUUGUCAAUUGAGUAAAAUUUGUGGACAAACUUAACAAUAUGCGAAAUGGAAGCAGUCUCAAAACAUCCUCUUAACCAAACAAUAUUAAUCGAUUCAUGAAAUUUAUGAACAAUUUAACAAGAUAUAUCGGUAGAAUAAAGAUAAUAUCAAAAGUAGGCGUUUGGCCAUGCGAUACUAUAUCACGAUAUGGAAUAAUCAUUUGGACAUGUGAUUUCACGCUGAUUCCAUCUCAUGAUUUCAUAUCAUGAGAUGGAAUACCAUAUUCUCCAAAAAUCAUUUAUGGGAAUUUCAUAUCAUGAUUUGGGAUUUUUUAAAUACAAAAGUUGACCCACAAGUUUAUAUUUUGUUAAAACAAUCUCAUAUUUAUAUCUACUAACCAUUUAUUUCAUACGUAAAUAAACUUAAUAAUCACAUCAUUACUUUUUAAAAUUUAUUAUUUUCACCAACAUAAAAUUUAUUAUUGCUUUAAAUUUGGUGAAUAUAAAUGAUAAAAUAGGAAUUGAUUUGGCGAAUAUAAAUAAGAACGGAGGGAGUAAUACUUUUUUGGUUUUUCGUAAUAAAAAAACUUCUCUUUCGUCUACCUAUGGAAAUGUUUAAAGCAAUUUAAUAUGAAAAAGGACAAAAUUGGUGAUGUAUGUUUGAUAAUCAUUACUUCCAAUAUGUUUGAUUUUAGCACGAAAUUAAUGUACUGAAAAUGUGUAAUUGCACAUAAGUAAAACAAGGCAUGAACCAUAUGAUAUUGACACACAAGUGAAAAUUGUCAUAACUUUUACAGUGUUACAUAAUUAUUUGCGAGAAUACCAAAUGAGUGAUGAAAUAGUUAUGGUCUAUUAUCAUGUAACUAUAGUUGUGAAUGAUAUUGACCAACAAAUGGCUCAAAGUAACAAUGUUGGUUCGUCUUCUCGGUCAUAUGAUCGAAAAAUGCAAGUUCAACGUGAGAAAAUUGUUCAUACUAUGUGGGAGGAUAUAUUAAAUACUAGUACACUACAAUUUAUGCUCAAUAUUUUUUAGUGAAUUAAAGUUUGAUCAAUUAAAGUUAGAUGACACCGUUAAUUAAGUGGAGAACAAAUAGAUUUGUAAUAAUUUAUUAUGCGAUUUUAUAAUUUUUUGUUAUUUGAUAAGAUUGAAUAAACAAUUGAGGCUAUUUUAAUAGUUUUACAACUUAUGAGAUUCUUAUGUUUAUGAGAAAAAUAAAAAAACACAAAAAUUUCAUAUUGCAUGUCCAAACAAAACUCCAACUUCACGGCAUGAUUUCAUAUUAUGAUAUAAUAUCAUGAUUUCAUAUCGCAUGGUCAAACGUGCCUAAAACUAUGUCCCAUCCAACAUAAUUUGUGAAUAAGAUAAGAUUUCUCAAUCAAAUAAAACUUAUAACAAUUUAACCAAAUAAACAGAGUGAAAAUAAUAUAAUCUCUAUCCCCUUUUGCAUGAUAUGUUUCCACCAACUCCCUUUCUUGUUUUUUUUUUCUUGUCUUGAUAGUAUAUAGUUUUCACUUUUUUAAUGAUGUCAAUCAAUAAUAGGGCAGUCACAACCCCACCAAUCAAGUUGCCCCAAACUGCUGUUUCAAAAACCACUUCUUGCAACUUGCAACUCUUGUGGGGCCAAACCACACCUCAACCAUACCUACGUUCCAGAACUUUCUUAUAAAGAACCUUCUCCUCAUCCUUCCAAUUUCGAAACUACUUAUUAUUAAAAAAUUGGAUUACAUAUAUUAUUCUCUCUUGAUCCGUGACAUACUUUUCUUUUUGGUCUGUCUUAAAAAGUAUAACACAUUUUCUCAAAUAUUUAAUAAUAAUAUCAAUAUCUUAUCUAUGUUAGAUGACUAGAUCUAUCACACAUAUAAAAUGUAAUUUUCUAUUUAAAUUUUCAUGUCCAAUUAAACUACGUACAUAAAUUGAAACGGAGAAAAUAAUAAAUAAAAAAUUGCAUAGGAGGAAGAUGCUCACACCCCAAAUGUCUAGAAGUCUAGAACCUUCCACUUAAACAAUAUUUUAUUAGUACUAUCUUUUUAUUAUUAUUAUUUCUUAGCAACUCAAUAGGUGGAAUUGCUGACUCUUCUUUUCUAUUAAUAGCCUUUUAGCACUUACUUCCAAAGCUUCUUUAUCCAUGGUGUUCAGAGCAAUUUAUUCACUAAAAUAACUCAACUUCUUAACUGCAUAAACUACCUUACCCAAAAGAGAAACUUUCCAUUUCCAAAAUCCAAAAUCCAAACUUUUUUCUUCCUAAAAAUACAUAUAUUUUCCCCUGUUUCUUGAUGAUGAAUCAAUUGUAUUCCGUUAAAGAGGAGUUCCCGGGGUCAAGUUCUGGUGGGGGUG